CGCCAAGCUGGACUAAGGCACCUGACUUUGACUCAGGCAAUCGGUCGUUCGAAUCGACCACGGUCUGCCA
This 70-nucleotide transfer RNA is filed under the name Variovorax paradoxus. RNAcentral describes it as "tRNA-Gln". It matches the Rfam family "tRNA", at positions 9 to 71 of the family's 71-position model. From Rfam's summary of the family: Transfer RNA (tRNA) molecules are approximately 80 nucleotides in length. Their secondary structure includes four short double-helical elements and three loops (D, anti-codon, and T loops). Lineage: Bacteria; Pseudomonadati; Pseudomonadota; Betaproteobacteria; Burkholderiales; Comamonadaceae. The record is from RNAcentral.